UCGGGAAUCUUCCGCAAUGGGCGAAAGCCUGACGGAGCAACGCCGCGUGAGUGAUGAAGGUCUUCGGAUCGUAAAACUCUGUUAUUAGGGAAGAACAUACGUGUAAGUAACUAUGCACGUCUUGACGGUACCUAAUCAGAAAGCCACGGCUAACUACGUGCCAGCAGCCGCGGUAAUACGUAGGUGGCAAGCGUUAUGCGGAAUUAUUGGGCGUAAAGCGCGCGUAGGCGGUUUUUUAAGUCUGAUGUGAAAGCCCACGGCUCAACCGUGGAGGGUCAUUGGAAACUGGAAAACUUGAGUGCAGAAGAGGAAAGUGGAAUUCCAUGUGUAGCGGUGAAAUGCGCAGAGAUAUGGAGGAACACCAGUGGCGAAGGCGACUUUCUGGUCUGUAACUGACGCUGAUGUGCGAAAGCGUGGGGAUCAAACA
RNAcentral lists this ribosomal RNA (427 nucleotides) under uncultured bacterium. RNAcentral's name for it is "partial 16S ribosomal RNA". It matches the Rfam family "Bacterial small subunit ribosomal RNA", at positions 355 to 774 of the family's 1533-position model. The record is from RNAcentral.